AUGUCAAGAAGGAAGGCUUAACCCC
Molecule: non-coding RNA, 25 nt
Filed under: Cricetulus griseus (Chinese hamster)
Lineage: Eukaryota; Metazoa; Chordata; Mammalia; Rodentia; Cricetidae
Source: RNAcentral